Molecule: long non-coding RNA, 996 nt
Organism: Triplophysa dalaica
Lineage: Eukaryota; Metazoa; Chordata; Actinopteri; Cypriniformes; Nemacheilidae
Exons: 3
Source: RefSeq, a predicted model, not a curated record
CCUCGACGCAUCAGACAAACUUUACCUUCGCGGGCAUUUUGAUCCACUUCAUCUCGGAAAGUUGUUAUUCGGAGAAUAAAAGGUUGCAGAAUAACAGCUAAUAUAAAUGGAUCAUUCUAUUCAAGAGAAAGUCAACUGGAACGUGGAUGUUUUCAUAACAGUCUUAAAGAUGAACAAAUUGAUAAAGAAACCCUCCUGCUGAACAUCCACUUCCAAAAGUGCACGCCACACUGUUGUCUAUAACUCCCAGGAAAAGAAUCCUCUUUAGUAAGACUGCUCCGUGGAUAUGUCAGGUUAAGCAGUACUGGAACUGAAAGAACUAACACUCUUUAAAAUGUUUUGUGAGUUUAUAUGAAGAGGAAAGUUCCGGUGUCCCUUUUUCACAUCCAUAACGCUUGUUUAUUUCUUUUUUUAUAGAAAACUUGUGCAUAGACUGAUAUUUUAUCAUCUAAAUUCGGUUCUAUCAACAAGGGUUUAGUAAAAUACUUUUUAUAGUGUUUUUAUGUCGCAUCCAUAACGCUGGAAUUGCCCUAAAGCAUUUUACUCGUGCCACUUUGUUAACUGUAUAUGAAUUUUUGAAGUGUUAAGUUGUCUAACUAUUUAUAUUUACUUUAAUAACCUUGUUUAAUGUAUAUGUUAAAAUCUAAACUAAUGUAAUUUAUUGAUGUUAAUUUUCCUUAAAUAUGUAUAAACAUACAUUUCAUCAAAGUGUUUUAUAUGCCAUUUUAUUGUUCAUUGAGCAUAACAUAUUGCAUGUUUUUAUGAAUUCCUUUUGUCUUGCAUUUUGAUCCUUAAUAAAACUUUUGAUUCUUACUGAUGCCUCGAGUAUUUCUCUGUGAUUUUGUUAUUAUUAUUUUUAAACAUUUCGGGUUUGUUUUAAACCAGCAAUGUAAUUUUUAAGCAAAAGUUGAUUUAAAUAAAACAACCCAGCAUGUUGGGUCAAAGAUAUAACCCAACUGGCUGGGUUAAAAUAACCCAACGCUGGGUUUGUCCAUA